Molecule: ribosomal RNA, 3483 nt
Filed under: Acrobeloides maximus
Lineage: Eukaryota; Metazoa; Nematoda; Chromadorea; Rhabditida; Cephalobidae
Description: eukaryotic LSU rRNA
Rfam family: Eukaryotic large subunit ribosomal RNA
Source: RNAcentral
UCUUGCUGCUCUAACGGGUAGCGAGAGGUGUAGCGUGUAGUAGGCGAUUUUCCUUGAUGUUUGUCGACUUAAAUUCUCCUUGACUGGGGUUCCAGAGAAGGUGAAAGGCCUGUUCAGUCGAUGGGUGUCUUGGAUUCCGCUCUACUUGGAGUCGGGUUGUUUGGGAACGCAGCCCAAAUUUGGUGGUAAACUUCAUCUAAGGCUAAAUACGGCCACGAGACCGAUAGCAAACAAGUACCGUGAGGGAAAGUUGAAAAGUACUUUGAAGAGAGAGUUCAAGAGGACGUGAAACCGGUAGGAUGGAAACGGAUAGAGCCAACGAACAAGCCCGUAUUCAGCUAGUCGGCUGCGUGCGGCACGCCUGUGCGCUCGAUAGGGUGUAUUGGUGUGUGCGGUAUGCGGUUCUUGGCUAGUGCAUUUGCGGGUGAUGUGCGCCGAGGCGCGUGGUGGUGUCCAGCGAACCGUCUGGAGAGGACUUGCCUUCGGGCUUGAAACCUACAGGCGGGGAGUAGGGUUACUGCUGCACGUAGUCUCGUGACUAGGUGCAAACGCGGUGUCGUGCUGUCGGGCUAGCUGCUCGGUCGGUCGCAUGCGACUAGGCCUUGUUGGUUGGUCUUGGUGGUGCGGUACUGCCCUGGUCUACCCUCGGUGUAAAAGUUGGUCAUCUCUCCGACCCGUCUUGAAACACGGACCAAGGAGUCUAGCGUAUACGCGAGUCAUUGGGUGGAAAACCCAUAGGCGCAAUGAAAGUGAAGGUCCUCUUUACGAGGCUGAUAUGCGACCCGUUGCACUUCGGUGUACGCGGAGCAGCAUAGCCCCGUCUCGACUGCUUGCAGUGGGGCGGAGGUAGAGCGUAUGCGCUGGUACCCGAAAGAUGGUGAACUAUGCCUGAGCAGGAUGAAGCCAGAGGAAACUCUGGUGGAGGUCCGAAGCGCUUCUGACGUGCAAAUCGAUCGUAUGACUUGGGUAUAGGGGCGAAAGACUAAUCGAACCAUCUAGUAGCUGGUUCCCUCCGAAGUUUCCCCCAGGAUAGCUGGAGCCUAAUUAUAUAGUUAUACUCGGUAAAGCGAACGAUUAGAGGACUUGGGGCCAAAAGGCCUUAACCUAUUCUCAAACUCUCAAUGGGUAUGAAGUCUUAGUUGCUUGAUUGAACUAGGACGUUGUAUAAGGGCUCCAAGUGGGCCAUUUUUGGUAAGCAGAACUGGCGCUGUGGGAUGAACCAAACGCGGAGUUAAGGUGCCAAACUCUCCGCUCAUUAGACCCCAUGAAAGGUGUUGGUUGAUAUUGACAGCAGGACGGUGGCCAUGGAAGUCGGAAUCCGCUAAGGAGUGUGUAACAACUCACCUGCCGAAUCAACUAGCCCUGAAAAUGGAUGGCGCUGGAGCGGGGGACCUAUACUCUGCCGUUAUGGCUUGAGAGCUCCUGGUAAAUGGGGCCUCCUGGCUGUAACGAGUAGGAGGGUUGUGACGGUUAGCGUCGAAGGCUUUGGGCGUGAGCCCGGCUGGAGCUUCCGUUAGUACAGAUCUUGGUGGUAGUAGCAAAUAUUCAAGUGAGAUCCUUGAAGACUGAAGUGGAGAAGGGUUCCACGUGAACAGCAGUUGAAUGUGGGUCAGUCGGUCCUAAGCCAUCGGCUAAUGCCGUAGUAAACGAGGGUGGAGCUUCUGGUUCCGCUCGGUUGGCGAAAGGGAAGCGGGUUAAUAUUCCCGCACCAGGACACGGAGAUGACUUGCCUUUACGGUUAGUCAAGGGCGGCAACGCAAACGAAGUCGCAGACGCUGCAUGAAGUCCGAGCCAGAGUUCUCUUUUCUGGUUUAGGAGUCUAAUCCCUGGAAAGGGUUCAGCCCAAGAUAGGGACGUUGGCUCCGUAAAGCACCGCGGUUCCUGUGGUGUCUCGUGCGCUUCAUGUGGCCCUUGAAAAUGCGACGGAGCCUUAAUGAAUUUCGUGCCUGGCCGUACCGAUAUCCGCAGCAGGUCUCCAAGGUGAACAGCCUCUAGUCGAUAGAAUAAUGUAGGUAAGGGAAGUCGGCAAAUUAGAUCCGUAACUUCGGGAAAAGGAUUGGCUCUAAGGGUUGGGCCGAUCGGGCUGUUGUGCAAAACUUGCUGGCUUUGCCCAUGGCUGCGGGAGGCUCACGCCGAACGCGGACUAGCGGUAAGGCCGGCUUGUGGAGCGCUUCAGCUGCGUGCAGGUUUCGGCCUGUACUUCGGUCGGCAAGAAACAACCGACUUAGAACUGGCACGGACUCGGGGAAUCCGACUGUCUAAUUAAAACAGAGGAGACGGAUGGUCCUUGCGGACGUUGACCGUCUCUGAUUUCUGCCCAGUGCUCUGAAUGUUAACUUAAGGAAACUUAAUUAAGCGCGGGUAAACGGCGGGAGUAACUAUGACUCUCUUAAGGUAGCCAAAUGCCUCGUCAUCUAAUUAGUGACGCGCAUGAAUGGAUUAACGAGAUUCCCACUGUCCCUAUCUACUAUCUAGCGAAACCACAGCCAAGGGAACGGGCUUGGCAAAUACAGCGGGGAAAGAAGACCCUGUUGAGCUUGACUCUAGUCUGACUCUGUGAAGAAUCAUGAGAGGUGUAGCAUAAGUGGGAGGUUUCGGCCGCCAGUGAAAUACCACUACUUUCAUCGAUUCCUUACUUAUUCGGUAAGACGGGAAUUGAACUUCAAUGUUCUUGAUUUUGGUGUUAAGGAUACCCACUUGGUGGGCGUCCGACCCGCGCCGACGACCGUGUCAGGCGGGGAGUUUGACUGGGGCGGUACAUCUGUCAAAUCGUAACGCAGGUGUCCUAAGGCGAGCUCAGAGAGGACGGAAACCUCUCGUAGAGUAAAAGGGCAAAAGCUCACUUGAUCUUGAUUUUCAGUACGAAUACAGACCGCGAAAGCGUGGCCUAUCGAUCCUUUUGAAUUAGAAAGUUUCUAGCAAGAGGUGUCAGAAAAGUUACCACAGGGAUAACUGGCUUGUGGCAGCCAAGCGUCCAUAGCGACGUUGCUUUUUGAUCCUUCGAUGUCGGNNNNNNNNNNNNNNNNNNNNNNNNNNNNNCCAAGCGUUGGAUUGUUCACCCACCAAUAGGGAACGUGAGCUGGGUUUAGACCGUCGUGAGACAGGUUAGUUUUACCCUACUGUAGACGAGCUGUUACGAUAGUAAUCCUGCUUAGUACGAGAGGAACUGCAGGUUCAGACAUUUGGUUCAUGUGCUUGGUCGAUAGACCAAUGGUGCGAAGCUACCAUCUGAGGGAUUAUGACUGAACGCCUCUAAGUCAGAAUCCCGCCUAGUCAAUGUAACAGUACUUUUGCUCCCCGGUGUCGGGAGGCACUUCUAUGCAUCGCUUGCGGUGCAGCAUAUGCCCCAGUAUCUGGCCUGGUCGAGUAGCCUAAUCGUUGCUCGAUUGCCAAAGCCAUAUCACUAUGGUGAAACGUCGGGGUGCAAGAUCACUUGUAAACGACUUGAUUACUGGUCAAGGGGUUGUAUCCGGUAGAGCAGUG